Molecule: ribosomal RNA, 254 nt
Filed under: uncultured bacterium
Lineage: Bacteria
Description: partial 16S ribosomal RNA
Rfam family: Bacterial small subunit ribosomal RNA
Source: RNAcentral
UACGUAGGGUCCAAGCGUUGUCCGGAUUUAUUGGGCGUAAAGAGCUCGUAGGCGGCUUAGUAAGUCGGAUGUGAAAACUCGGGGCUCAACCCCGAGACGCCAUCCGAUACUGCUGUGGCUUGAGUCUGGUAGGGGAACACGGAAUUCCUGGUGUAGCGGUGAAAUGCGCAGAUAUCAGGAGGAACACCGAUGGCGAAGGCAGUGUUCUGGGCCAGUACUGACGCUGAGGAGCGAAAGCGUGGGGAGCGAACAGG